UCAAACUUGGUCAUUUAGAGGAAGUAAAAGUCGUAACAAGGUUUCCGUAGGUGAACCUGCGGAAGGAUCAUUAACGAGUUAGGGUUCCGCUUUAAGGGCCCGACCUCCCAACCCUUUGUCUACCGAACCUAUUUUAUGAAGACGCUCUCGGCGGGUUCGCGCCCGCCGACGGCGAAUUCUUAAACUCUUGACCAGUUAAAAAUCUUAACUAUAAAAAACUUUCAACAACGGAUCUCUUGGUUCUGGCAUCGAUGAAGAACGCAGC
This 265-nucleotide unclassified non-coding RNA is filed under the name uncultured fungus. RNAcentral's name for it is "partial contains small subunit ribosomal RNA, internal transcribed spacer 1, and 5.8S ribosomal RNA". The stretch from base 1 to 73 matches the Rfam family "Eukaryotic small subunit ribosomal RNA", at positions 1759 to 1831 of the family's 1831-position model. The record is from RNAcentral. Lineage: Eukaryota; Fungi.